UCGCUAACUCCUCCGAAGGCUUUCGUUCCACCGGCAACAAAUUUGCUCAGGACAAUCUACACCCCAUGGCCAUUAAAAGUUGUACAAAUCAUGGCGCUGCACCCCACGGUUUACAUUCUAGGGGGCGCCAAAGAUAACCCAAAAAUCCACAUUCUUAAAAGUCUUAUAACUUUUUAUUUUUGUCCUCACUGGCCUCCAAGUUUUCUAGGAUGAUGCAAUGUCCAGCCAUCAACACAUUUGUGAAGAAAUUUUUACUCCCCAAAAGAGCGCCCCCCAUGGCAGGAGAAAAAAGUCCAUUUUUUCUUGUCCCCUAAGGUGAAAAUACACAUUGUUGAGUGUCAUGCCUGAACGCUUUGUCAUAUUGACACAAAAUUUGACACACACGUGUAUCUCAAUAAGAUCUACGAAAAAGUCAAAGAGCGCGUAUCUGUAUAAUGUACGGUUAAAGGGCUAUUUCGCAUUUUUUGCCGAUCCGCACACAUUGGAAUUUCGCUAACUCCUCCGAAGGCUUUCGUUCCACCGGCACCACAUUUGCUCAGGCCAAUCUACACCCCAUGGCCAUUAAAAGUUGUACAAAUCAUGACGCUGCACCCCACGGUUUAGGUUCUAGGGGGCGCCAAAGAUGACCCAAAUAUACAUUACAGCAGACAAAGUAGUUUUGCCCACUGAGUGGCGCCAAAGGGACUUGUCUAUGGAGACUGGGAGUCACUAUUGGCCGUUUUUGACUACUUUAGAUUUUACCUUUAUAUUUCCUCUUAAAAUUUUUUUACCUUGCCUUGCCUGGUAUCAUUUUUUUCAGCACAACCUCACCUGUGUGACUUUACAGUUAUUUUAUCAUUUUCACAUACUGUUUUUACACAAUGGACCCAAAUUCACACACAAAACAUAAUAUCCGAGUGGAAAAAAGUAACAUUUUUACUGUGAAAACCACAAAUAUGUGUGAUGAACUGUUUUAAAACUUAAACAUCAAAUAAAAAUUUUAAACUUCAAAACAUUUGCAAAUUUUUAACAAAGAACAUAGUAAUUUAAAUCUAUUUACAUCAAAAUGCAGGCAAUGGCCCAGGCGUUCUUUGUAAAAUUAUUUACAAAACACUGUAUAGUCUCACAAAUGUCACUUUUUAUUUAUGCCACUACAAAAAAAAACAUGAUGUAAAUGAUGCAUGAUGUAAAACAUGAUGUAAAAAACUUGUGUAGAUCCUCCUCUAUGUUAGUCCAUGUGUAAUUUUUCCAUAAUUCUUUGUUUUGUCCAGCAUUUUUGUUAGUGUAACUGCAGAUUGUGCUGACAGUGUCGAUGGCAAAAAAACAAUAAAACAAACUGAAAAUGCCUCAACAUGAACCCCUGGUGGUCUCUGAGGGUGAAACCUGCUAACUGCUGCAGCUCUGUCAGCUUCAGUCUCCCAUGCAGAGCUCUGAGUGCAUGUGUGGCUCUGCACCCUUAGCAGCGUUGCUAACUCCUCAGUAAGGAAAGCCUGCUUCAUGUCAGAGUCUCUAAACUCCAGAAGAAGUCGAUAAAAGUCCCUUUCUUUAAAAAAAAAAGUCGUUAGGGGGUCUGAAAAGUCAUUGAAUCUAACAACAAAGUCGCUAGGUUUGCAACUACGUGUCCCAGACUGCAUCCC
Molecule: non-coding RNA, 1616 nt
Organism: Xyrichtys novacula (pearly razorfish)
Lineage: Eukaryota; Metazoa; Chordata; Actinopteri; Labriformes; Labridae
Source: the annotation of a GenBank genome assembly